ACCGACGUGGGCGACUACGACAUCAAGCUGCGCAAGAUGCGCGAGUUUCUUGAAGAAGGCGACAAGGUCAAGGUCACGAUCCGCUUCCGCGGCCGCGAGAUGUCCCACCAGGACCUCGGCCAGAACCUGGCCCGCAAGAUCCAGACCGACAUCGGCGAGGAAGGCGUGGUCGAGCAGUUCCCGCGCCUCGAAGGUCGCCAGAUGGUCAUGAUGAUCGGGCCUAAGAAGAAGGUCUGAUCUCUGGAAUUGUGGGAGCCGCUAUAGCGGCGAGAAGCCCACGGA
RNAcentral lists this unclassified non-coding RNA (282 nucleotides) under Luteibacter sp. UNCMF366Tsu5.1. Its description in RNAcentral is "Long range pseudoknot". Lineage: Bacteria; Pseudomonadati; Pseudomonadota; Gammaproteobacteria; Lysobacterales; Rhodanobacteraceae. The record is from RNAcentral.